GCCUUCGUGGUGUAGUGGUCAGCACUCUGGGUGCGUAUGCCAGUGGUCCGUGGUUCGAGUCCCGGAGAAGGCU
Molecule: non-coding RNA, 73 nt
Organism: Stegodyphus mimosarum
Lineage: Eukaryota; Metazoa; Arthropoda; Arachnida; Araneae; Eresidae
Source: Rfam